RNAcentral lists this transfer RNA (52 nucleotides) under Mansonella perstans. Its description in RNAcentral is "tRNA-Ser". The record is from RNAcentral. Lineage: Eukaryota; Metazoa; Nematoda; Chromadorea; Rhabditida; Onchocercidae.
GAUAAGUUUUUUUAGUCUUCUAAACUGAUUAUGAGGUUAUUCUCACUUAUUU